AUGAAAUCAUAUUCUCCUUUGGAGUUUCUUCUAGCUGAUGCGCCGUUGGCUGCACGCUGUUGUGACUCUUUGGGGGUUAUAUUUCCACAAACCCUUCUGUGCAUAUUGGGAGGCUUCAUUGUCCUCUCCUAACUUUAUAUACUCUAAUGUUUAAUCAUGUCAUAUAAAUGUUAAAUACAUUAAA
RNAcentral lists this unclassified non-coding RNA (184 nucleotides) under uncultured fungus. RNAcentral describes it as "sequence contains ITS1, 5.8S rRNA gene". The record is from RNAcentral. RNAcentral also lists the same sequence under 1 other name. Lineage: Eukaryota; Fungi.